AGAUCCUCCGCACCGUGUAUCCCUCUAGGACUCCGCACUGUGUAUUGAUGAAUGUCACUUUGUUAAGCCCUCAGCUGCCAUGGGGCGGGAUGGAGAGCCAGCUAGGAAAAUGCUGCUUCCUAGAGGUAACCCGGCAAUGUAACUAGGGCUCAAACGUUUGUGGACCCUAUCCAUCCUACUCCCACUGAUGUCAACUGGAGUUUCCCCCUUAUCUGUAAAGGUAGCUGGAUGAAGAUUUAGCGUGAACAAUGUGUUUGUAGCUGUACAAGACACAGAAGACAAAUUGGUCCCUGCCUUCAGAUGCUUAAGAUGUAGGGGGCCAAUCCUGCAUGGAAUUUAGACCACUCUUAUAUGUCUUUCUCCUGCAAAGGGCUCCACAGACCCUUCUGCUCCAACCAGGAAUGAGGAUCAGGUCAUAUAGAUGAUCAGCCCCUUUUGCAAGAUCAGGGCUAUAAUUUCUCCCACAGAGUCCCAUUGAUUUUAGGUAACAAUAGGUGCUGUUAUAGCUCUUUGCGGGAUCAGACCUUCUGUGAUGUUGUAACUUAAUAACUAUAAUAUAGCAUAUUACAUAACAUAUAUAACAUACAUGUAAUCAUAUAUCACUUAAUAUUUUAAUGGG
Long non-coding RNA from Malaclemys terrapin pileata, 619 nucleotides. RefSeq lists it as uncharacterized. The transcript is spliced from 3 exons. NCBI's taxonomy places the organism in Eukaryota, Metazoa, Chordata, Testudines, Emydidae. The record is from RefSeq and is a predicted model, not a curated record.